Molecule: ribosomal RNA, 441 nt
Filed under: Photobacterium rosenbergii
Lineage: Bacteria; Pseudomonadati; Pseudomonadota; Gammaproteobacteria; Vibrionales; Vibrionaceae
Description: bacterial SSU rRNA
Rfam family: Bacterial small subunit ribosomal RNA
Source: RNAcentral
CAUAAACAAUCCUUCGGGUGCGCUUAUGGGCGGCGAGCGGCGGACGGGUGAGUAAUGCCUGGGAAUAUGCCCUGAUGUGGGGGAUAACCAUUGGAAACGAUGGCUAAUACCGCAUAAUCUCUUCGGAGCAAAGAGGGGGACCUUCGGGCCUCUCGCGUCAGGAUUAGCCCAGGUGAGAUUAGCUAGUUGGUGAGGUAAGAGCUCACCAAGGCGACGAUCUCUAGCUGGUCUGAGAGGAUGAUCAGCCACACUGGAACUGAGACACGGUCCAGACUCCUACGGGAGGCAGCAGUGGGGAAUAUUGCACAAUGGGGGAAACCCUGAUGCAGCCAUGCCGCGUGUGUGAAGAAGGCCUUCGGGUUGUAAAGCACUUUCAGUUGUGAGGAAGGCAUAUACGUUAAUAGCGUAUGUGUUUGACGUUAGCAACAGAAGAAGCACCGG